AUAUUUUAUAAUUUUUUUAAUAAAAUUCAGAUUCUGAAUUUAUCAAGUGAUGCCCAAGACCGGUCCUGUUUCAUACCCACAACGCCCGAGUGUGGUCCAUAUCCGGACCGAACAGGUAUUUUUACCACCCCUACUCACAAGCCCAAAAAAGCAACAAUCUUUCUCUUUUUUUUUCUUUUUUUUGAGAAGAACCUUCCUAUUACCACAUGCAAAUCUAAUUAUAUCUUCUUUUCUGUCUGUCACAUGAGAACAAAGAAUUUUUGCCUUGAUUUGUGGAAACUACUCCCCUCUCCCUUCAAUUUAAGUCAUAAUUGCUGCCGAAAAUCAUAAAAAAACUCUGCAUAUUCGGAAACAUGUAUUUUGGAUGAGGUGAAGAUAGAUUCUGUAAGAAAUUCAGCUUCGUGUUCAGAGGAUGUGGUAUUGCCGCCCUCUAAUAUUCUCACCACUUCGUUUUACAAUCCUAUAUGGUAUAUAGAUUAUAUCAAUUCUAGUAGGAUUUGGAUUUGGAAGAGGUAAUAUGCAAGCUUUUCAUGGUUUCAAGUUUUAACUGUUCUUUACUUCUUUCGCCACUAGCAAUGGCAGAUAUAGAAAAAUAAUUUAAUACGAGAGCUAAAUUACAUAACGAUAAGAUGUAAAA
RNAcentral lists this long non-coding RNA (637 nucleotides) under Citrus x clementina. RNAcentral's name for it is "Citrus clementina (C. clementina) long non-coding RNA (CCLE_LNC004496)". The record is from RNAcentral. Lineage: Eukaryota; Viridiplantae; Streptophyta; Magnoliopsida; Sapindales; Rutaceae.